This 301-nucleotide ribosomal RNA is filed under the name uncultured bacterium. Its description in RNAcentral is "partial 16S ribosomal RNA". It matches the Rfam family "Bacterial small subunit ribosomal RNA", at positions 509 to 809 of the family's 1533-position model. The record is from RNAcentral.
CAGCCGCCGCGGUAAUACGGAGGGGGCUAGCGUUGUUCGGAAUUACUGGGCGUAAAGCGUGCGUAGGCGGUGAGUUAAGUCUGCUGUGAAAUCCCCGGGCUCAACCUGGGAAUGGCAGUGGAUACUGGCUCGCUAGAGUGUGUCAGAGGAUGGUGGAAUUCCCGGUGUAGCGGUGAAAUGCGUAGAGAUCGGGAGGAACAUCAGUGGCGAAGGCGGCCAUCUGGGACAACACUGACGCUGAGGCACGAAAGCGUGGGGAGCAAACAGGAUUAGAUACCCGGGUAGUCCCUGUCUCUUAUAU